RNAcentral lists this ribosomal RNA (426 nucleotides) under uncultured bacterium. RNAcentral describes it as "bacterial SSU rRNA". It matches the Rfam family "Bacterial small subunit ribosomal RNA", at positions 355 to 796 of the family's 1533-position model. The record is from RNAcentral.
CUAGGAAUCUUGCGCAAUGGGCGAAAGCCUGACGCAGCGACGCCGCGUGGGGGACGAAGGUCUUCGGAUUGUAAACCCCUUUUGGGUGGGACGAGCAAGGACGGUACCACCUGAAUAAGCCCCGGCUAACUACGUGCCAGCAGCCGCGGUAAUACGUAGGGGGCGAGCGUUGUCCGGAUUUACUGGGCGUAAAGAGCGCGUAGGUGGUUGGGUAGGUUGGGGGUGAAAGGUGCGGGCUUAACCCGCAUAGGUCUCCCAAGACCGCUCGACUGUGAGGGCAGUAGAGGACGGUGGAAUUCCGGGUGUAGUGGUGAAAUGCGUAGAGAUCCGGAGGAACACCGGUGGCGAAGGCGGCCGUCUGGGCUGUCCCUGACACUGAGGCGCGAAAGCGUGGGGAGCGAACUGAAUUAGAUACCCCCGUAGUCC